AGAAAGUACAUCAUCUGUGGCUAUGGAAGAAGUGCCUGAAAGCUCUUAUGAAAGGACAUCGUCUGUGUCUAUGGAAGAAGUGCCUGAAAGCUCUCAUGUUUUACCGGACAGUUCUACAGAGACAACUGCUAAUACAAAAAGGAAACCAAAAAGGAAGUGGUCACAAGGAGAGGUCAAAUCAGUUAUGAAGCAUUUUAAGCACCACAUACUAAAAGGGAAAUUGGCCACUUAUGCCGAAUGUCACCAAUGCAAACUUGCUGAACAUCCAAUUUUAGAGAAUCGAAGUGUUCAAAAUAUUAGGGAUUUUGUGCGUAAUCGUGGAAUAACUUUAAAAAAACAGAAUCAGCAACAAUAAUUUUUAGUUAAUGUUGAUUGUCACUUUUUGUCUUCAACAGAUUUGUAUUUUAGAAUUAUGCCAUAACAUUCUUUUUCAUUCAUUAUUUCAUUCAUUAUAUUGGAGCAGUGCUUUUUUUAAAAAAAAGGCUUCAUAUAUCUUUUAAAGGGGUUUUAAAUGAUGCCUUAUUUUCCUUGUAAAUGGCAGUGAAGUUUUGGUUAUUGUGAAUUAGAUUUAAGUAAAAGAAUGUUACAAUAAGUUGUUUUGAAAAGGCAGAUUGUGUUUAUUGAAACUCUUCUUUAAACCUCACAGUACAGCAUGCUUUUUUUUUUUUAAGGAUUGAUAUAUCUUUUAAAGGGGUUUUAAGUGAUGCCUUAUUUUCCUUGUAAAUGGCAGUGAAGUUUUGGUUAUUGUGAAUUAGAUUUAAGUAAAAGAAUGUUACAAUAAGUUGAUGUGUAAGUUGUUUUGAAAAGGCAGAUUGUGUUUAUUGAAACACUUCUUUAAACCUC
Paramormyrops kingsleyae is the source of this 843-nucleotide non-coding RNA. Lineage: Eukaryota; Metazoa; Chordata; Actinopteri; Osteoglossiformes; Mormyridae. The record is from RefSeq and is a predicted model, not a curated record.